UACGUAGGUGGCAAGCGUUGUCCGGAUUUACUGGGCGUAAAGAGCGCGCAGGCGGUCGUUCAAGUCGCGUGUGAAAGCCCCCGGCUCAACUGGGGAGGGUCACGCGAUACUGCUCGACUCGAAGGCAGGAGAGGGAAGUGGAAUUCCCGGUGUAGUGGUGAAAUGCGUAGAUAUCGGGAGGAACACCAGUGGCGAAGGCGGGUUGCUGGGCUGACACUGACGCUGAUGCGCGAAAGCUAGGGGAGCGAACGGG
RNAcentral lists this ribosomal RNA (253 nucleotides) under uncultured bacterium. Its description in RNAcentral is "partial 16S ribosomal RNA". It matches the Rfam family "Bacterial small subunit ribosomal RNA", at positions 524 to 776 of the family's 1533-position model. The record is from RNAcentral.